This 552-nucleotide long non-coding RNA is filed under the name Sus scrofa (pig). RNAcentral describes it as "lncRNA (ENSSSCG00015031316.1)". The record is from RNAcentral. Lineage: Eukaryota; Metazoa; Chordata; Mammalia; Artiodactyla; Suidae.
CUGCUGCAAUGACGUCGUCUCAGGGCAUGUUUAAUGGAAGCUCCACGGUGGAAAAGGUAUUAAUGGCAGGUGAUCCAGAAGCUUUGUGGACCAUUGGCCUAAUUGAAGGCAGUAGCAGAAGAGUUGAGAGAGGACAGAUGUGGGAGAGGACCAGGUGACUGACUGAAUGAAAGGGGAGAAAUAUCCAGUCUGUGGCCUGGAGAUUACAAAGCCGUAAUCAGAAAUACUGGUCAACUGAUCUGUGUAUUUUGUGAUGACAAAGUACAGCAGCCACCAAGAGAAAACACAUGGCCAUAUUGAAAAGAGAGAGGAAAAGUAGAUUUUCUGAAGAGCCAGUGAAAAGGAAGUUUCAGGGCUGCUGGGCACCGGGCAACAGGAGUCACCAUAUGGCCAUCCUAACAGUGGUCGCUAGCUCCGCUGUAGUUUGUUCUCCAAAGCACUCUACAAACUUAUAGUGGAAAUCAUCUCGGGAAUCAGUAGCAAUGUUCGUAUUGAUUUUGUUGUUGUUUUCAGUGUGAUUUUUUGGGCAUUAAAGUUUUAAUUACAUAAAGA